This 370-nucleotide ribosomal RNA is filed under the name uncultured organism. RNAcentral's name for it is "bacterial SSU rRNA". It matches the Rfam family "Bacterial small subunit ribosomal RNA", at positions 526 to 896 of the family's 1533-position model. The record is from RNAcentral.
CGUAGGGUGCAAGCGUUAAUCGGAAUUACUGGGCGUAAAGCGUGCGCAGGCGGCUUUGCAAGACAGAUGUGAAAUCCCCGGGCUUAACCUGGGAACUGCAUUUGUGACUGCAUGGCUGGAGUGCGGCAGAGGGGGAUGGAAUUCCGCGUGUAGCAGUGAAAUGCGUAGAUAUGCGGAGGAACACCGAUGGCGAAGGCAAUCCCCUGGGCCUGCACUGACGCUCAUGCACGAAAGCGUGGGGAGCAAACAGGAUUAGAUACCCUGGUAGUCCACGCCCUAAACGAUGUCAACUGGUUGUUGGACGGCUCACUGUUCAGUAACGAAGCUAACGCGUGAAGUUGACCGCCUGGGGAGUACGGCCGCAAGGUUG